GACGAACGCUGGCGGCGUGCUUAACACAUGCAAGUCGAACGGAAAGGCCCCUUCGGGGGUGCUCGAGUGGCGAACGGGUGAGUAACACGUGGGUGAUCUGCCCUGCACUUUGGGAUAAGCCUGGGAAACUGGGUCUAAUACCGGAUAGGACUCCGAGAUGCAUGUCUUGGGGUGGAAAGCUUUUGCGGUGUGGGAUGGGCCCGCGGCCUAUCAGCUUGUUGGUGGGGUGAUGGCCUGCCGAGGCGACGGCGGGUAGCCGGCCUGAGAGGGUGUCCGGCCACACGGGGACUGAGAUACGGCCCAGACUCCUACGGGAGGCAGCAGUGGGGAAUAUUGCACAAUGGGCGCAAGCCUGAUGCAGCGACGCCGCGUGAGGGAUGACGGCCUUCGGGUUAUAAACCUCUUCCACUAGGGACGAAGCGCAAGUGACGGUACCUAGAGAAGAAGCACCGGCCAACUACGUGCCAGCCGCCGCCGUAA
Molecule: ribosomal RNA, 480 nt
Filed under: uncultured bacterium
Lineage: Bacteria
Description: partial 16S ribosomal RNA
Rfam family: Bacterial small subunit ribosomal RNA
Source: RNAcentral